UACGUAGGUUGCAAGCGUUAUUCGGAAUCACUGGGCGUAAAGGGCGCGCAGGCGGUUUUGUAAGUCUAAAGUGAAAACCUUGGGCUUAACCCAAGGGCUGCUUUAGAUACUGCAAAACUCGAGUUCGGGAAAAGCAAGCGGAAUUCCUGGUGAAGGGGUGAAAUCCGUAGAUAUCAGGAAGAACACAAGUGGCGAAAGCGGCUUGCUAGAACGCAACUGACGCUUAGGCGCGAAAGCGUGGGGAGCAAACAGG
This 253-nucleotide ribosomal RNA is filed under the name uncultured bacterium. RNAcentral's name for it is "partial 16S ribosomal RNA". It matches the Rfam family "Bacterial small subunit ribosomal RNA", at positions 524 to 776 of the family's 1533-position model. The record is from RNAcentral.